CAUUUCUAACUGUUAUAAUAAUUAGUAAUACCUGCUCAAUGAAUAAUUUAAUAGCCGCGGAAAUUUAACCGUGCUAAGGUAGCAUAAUCAUUAGCCUCUUAAUUAGAGGCUUGUAUGAAUGGUUAAACAUUUCAAUUACUUUAUUUUUUAUUAACUUUUAAUUUAAACUAAGAAUUAAAAUGUUCUUAUUUAUUAAAUAGACGACAAGACCCUUUUGAACUUAACUUUAGUUUAGCUGGGGCAGCUAAUAAAAAAUUAUCUUUUUACUUUUAAUAAUAUAAAUGACCCAAUAAAAUUGAGAAAAUGAACAAGUUACCAUAGGGAUAACAGCGUAAUAUUUUUCUAAAGUUCUUAUUUAAAAAAAUGAUUGCGACCUCGAUGUUGAAUUAAUGUUACUAUAAAAUGCAAUAAUUUUAAGAGUAGGUCUGUUCGACCUUUAAACCAUUAC
RNAcentral lists this ribosomal RNA (448 nucleotides) under Guizygiella sp. B MG-2015. Its description in RNAcentral is "partial 16S ribosomal RNA". It matches the Rfam family "Bacterial large subunit ribosomal RNA", at positions 1829 to 2599 of the family's 2925-position model. Lineage: Eukaryota; Metazoa; Arthropoda; Arachnida; Araneae; Tetragnathidae. The record is from RNAcentral.